RNAcentral lists this ribosomal RNA (426 nucleotides) under uncultured bacterium. RNAcentral describes it as "bacterial SSU rRNA". It matches the Rfam family "Bacterial small subunit ribosomal RNA", at positions 354 to 796 of the family's 1533-position model. The record is from RNAcentral.
GUGGGGAAUAUUGCGCAAUGGGGGGAACCCUGACGCAGCAACGCCGCGUGGAGGAAGAAGGUCUUCGGAUUGUAAACUCCUGUCUUCUGGGACGAAAAAUGACGGUACCAGAGGAGGAAGCCACGGCUAACUACGUGCCAGCAGCCGCGGUAAUACGUAGGUGGCGAGCGUUGUCCGGAAUUACUGGGCGUAAAGGGCGUGCAGGCGGUUUUUUAAGUCAGAUGUGAAACCCCGGGGCUUAACUUCGGGAUUGCAUUUGAAACUGAAGGGCUUGAGUGCAGGAGAGGUAAGUGGAAUUCCUAGUGUAGCGGUGAAAUGCGUAGAUAUUAGGAGGAACACCAGUGGCGAAGGCGACUUACUGGACUGUAACUGACGCUGAGGCGCGAAAGCGUGGGGAGCAAACAGGAUUAGAAACCCCAGUAGUCC